Molecule: non-coding RNA, 1945 nt
Organism: Lactuca sativa (garden lettuce)
Lineage: Eukaryota; Viridiplantae; Streptophyta; Magnoliopsida; Asterales; Asteraceae
Source: RefSeq, a predicted model, not a curated record
UAGCCUAUAAUUAUGGUAAUUAGUUGCAUAGAUUUUUCAUCCUUUUUUAAAACCACAAUGACGACUUAAAGGGGUGUUUUAGCUCGGUGGCUCUUCUUCGCGUCUCAUCCUUUCGGUCGACAGAAGCCUAAUGACGCCCAACCUCAGGCUGUUCAACGAUCGGUCCGACGAGAUACAACCGAUUCGCAAUCCCCCAAGCCUCUGUAACCUGUUGGGCAGAUCACUCACUAGUUCCCCAAUAAAACGCCCAAUGAGCCACUUCCGAUGAUGCGACUUGGAUGGAAGCCAACGACACAGUUCAAGCCCACAGAAAGGACAGGUAAUCUUGCAAUCUGUGAUCUUUUGAAUUCUGCACAUCGGUUUAUUGAUGGCAACAUAGUGUCUUGUGAUUUUGUGAUCAAUUCUUCCACCAUCGUGAUUGAAAGAGGAUCUUAAGAGGAAAACUUUACGCCAAAUUGGUGCUCUGAAACCUUUUCAUUGGAAUUGCUCAUGAGUUUUUGGAAUUGGCCCCAAAAGUCACCGCCAUGAUUGUAGGGGUUGUGCUGUUAGAACUAAUCACAGGGCGUAAACCUGUGGACGGGUCUCAGCCUGGAAAAAAACUAUGUGCAGGUUGAAAUGUUCCGGAUGAUUGGAGCAGUUGUAGCCUGUAUACGCCAUUUAGCACCAAAAAGGCCACCAAUGAGUCAGGUGGUGACAGCUUUGGACUCGAUUGUUGAGUUCACAACAGAUCUGUCAAAUGGGAUGAAACCAGGGCAGAGUGGAAUCUUUGAUUCACGAGAAUAAUCUGCACAUCGAUCUGUCAAAAGGACAACAAGGAUGCUGAGCCCACUGAGUUUGAACAGAGUGUUGCUCAUGUAAUCCCCGAUUAAUGUCAUUCUCUUCAUUGAUUUCUUUAAUUCAUCUCAACACAGGCAUUGUUCGACUUUGAAAACACCCACCAAGAGCUCAAGAGUGACUUGAAGGAUUUGUACCUCAACUCUGCAAAGUAUGAAUAUCAAACCCAUUAAUCCCAUAUAAAUCCUCUCCCAUUUCUCCUUCAUCAUAUCACAUAUUAAUCUCUGUUUGAUGCUUCUUUUCCAGUCAAAUUGAUGUUGGAAACAAAAAGGCUGUUGUGAUUCACGUCCCAUAUAGAUUAAGGAAACUUAUAGGUUACGAACCUGUUUUUUACGAUUGAAGUUGAUUUUGAGUACGCCUGGUGUUACUUAUUCGCAUUCUGAAAGCAUAUUUUGUUGUGGGUGGAUACCUGGAGUAUCAAGAUCAUUGCUUGGUUAGUCGGUUUAAAGAUAUUUUUAACCUUGGGUGUCUUCCUUAAUCCUUGGUCAUUGCUAUUGUUGCUUUGUUUCCUGCUAUUUAAUUUAAAGACCCUUUUGCCCUUGGCUUUUCAUUGGUGCAAUUUGAUCAGUUUCUUUCUACAUAUGGUCAACCAUUCUUGCCCACACCCAUUUUGCCGAAGAUUGCAAAAAGUUAGAAUGAGUAAUCUUUAUUUUACCUUAUGUAGUAAAAUGGAUGGAGGAUUGAUUACAAAAUUAAAUGCUUGAUAAUCUUUAUUUUCUUAUGUUGUGUUGAAAAUUGUAGUGCACAAGUAUUAUUGUUGCACCAAAGGAGAAGGUUUAUGUAGAUGAUUCAAUGGAUGAUAUUGGUGAGAUUCUAAUUCUAUUGGAAUAGAAUGAUGAAUUCCAAUUUUGUUGGAAUGGAAUGACAAAUUCCAAUUCUGUUGGAAUCACAGAAGUUGAUGCUUGAAGAACGGACCACAUUAUUCUUUUAGAAUGAAUUAGUCGUUGUUAGAUUUUGAUGUUUUCUUCCCCCUUUUGAUUGUUUUUUUAGUUUUAUUCUUUAACAAUAAAUGUAAUUUUUAACCAUUGUUACCCGUAUUCUAUAAGAAAUAAUGUAUUUUUUUGUUUUUAUUUUUCAAUUGAUUGUUCAAGAUUUUGUUAUUCUACAAGAA